RNAcentral lists this ribosomal RNA (288 nucleotides) under uncultured Dialister sp. Its description in RNAcentral is "partial 16S ribosomal RNA". The record is from RNAcentral. Lineage: Bacteria; Bacillati; Bacillota; Negativicutes; Veillonellales; Veillonellaceae.
CUACACGGGUAUCUAAUCCUGUUUGCUCCCCACGCUUUCGCGCCUCAGCGUCAGUUUUCGUCCAGAAAGUCGCCUUCGCCACCGGUGUUCUUCCUAAUAUCUACGCAUUUCACCGCUACACUAGGAAUUCCACUUUCCUCUCCGAUACUCCAGUCUCCCAGUUUCCAUCCCAUCACGGGGUUAAGCCCCGCACUUCUAAGAUGGACUUAAGUGACCGCCUGCGCGCGCUUUACGCCCAAUAAUUCCGGACAACGCUUGCCACCUACGUAUUACCGCGGCUGCUGGCAC